UGACAGUCGGCUGAGACGGAGCUGCCAUCACAAUCCAGGUCUCCUCAUUCCUGGUUCCAUGCUCUUUCCAGUAUACAGAAAGAAAUUUUUUAUUUGUGUGUACAGUUGGGGGUGCGGGUGAAUAGGAAAUUUGCUCAAACAACUCAGACACUCCGGGUUCAUCUUCAGCAGAGUAAUCUCUAUCUGAAACAUGGAAGGGCCAACUGGGAUUUGCAAAGCAGCCAAGAGGAUCCCAAAUCAUAGAACAGAGGGCCUUGGCUAUUUCCAAAGCCAAUAGCCUCAGGAUCUGCUCCCACCAUUCCCUGGGACUGGCUCCCUCAAACUUCCCCAUUCAAAUGGCCUGAGAUUUGGUUUAUGACUCAUUCCCUGACUGCCCCUAGCUGCCCAAAGCCAUGCCAGGGCAGAGGUUCAAAGUCUUUUCCUCCCCCUUCCUUACUCUCUGGGCUGACCAAUAAGAAACAACCUUGGAAGCUGGGCUUUGGUUUGGGGUGCUGGGUAUGAGGGCAUUUGUUUUUCAUCUUGCUUUGCAAAGCAAACCUGCACCCCACACACACACCCUCAAGUUCCCUGGCAUUAGCAUGCGCCAUAAAUCUCCAGGAUGCUGCA
Molecule: long non-coding RNA, 606 nt
Organism: Trichosurus vulpecula (common brushtail)
Lineage: Eukaryota; Metazoa; Chordata; Mammalia; Diprotodontia; Phalangeridae
Exons: 2
Source: RefSeq, a predicted model, not a curated record